CAGUAGCCGCGGUAAUACGUAGGUGGCGAGCGUUAUCCGGAAUUAUUGGGCGUAAAGGGUGCGUAGGCGGCCUGUUAAGUAAGUGGUUAAAUUGUUGGGCUCAACCCAAUCCAGCCACUUAAACUGGCAGGCUAGAGUAUUGGAGAGGCAAGUGGAAUUCCAUGUGUAGCGGUAAAAUGCGUAGAUAUAUGGAGGAACACCAGUGGCGAAGGCGGCUUGCUAGCCAAAGACUGACGCUCAUGCACGAAAGCGUGGGGAGCAAAUAGGAUUAGAUACCCGCGUAGUCCCUGUCUCUUAUACA
RNAcentral lists this ribosomal RNA (301 nucleotides) under uncultured bacterium. Its description in RNAcentral is "partial 16S ribosomal RNA". It matches the Rfam family "Bacterial small subunit ribosomal RNA", at positions 509 to 808 of the family's 1533-position model. The record is from RNAcentral.